RNAcentral lists this ribosomal RNA (510 nucleotides) under uncultured bacterium. RNAcentral describes it as "partial 16S ribosomal RNA". It matches the Rfam family "Bacterial small subunit ribosomal RNA", at positions 28 to 507 of the family's 1533-position model. The record is from RNAcentral.
GACGAACGCUGGCGGCGUGCUUAACACAUGCAAGUCGAACGAAGAGCCAUUGAAUCUUUCUGCUAUCCGUCUUGGUGACGGACGGGUGAGUCACGCGUAACCAGCCUUCCCUUCUGAGGUAAACUACAGUUACAAACGACUGCUAAUACCGCAUACUAUCUAAUCUCGGCAUCGAUUGUAAAUUUAAGGUGGCCGGUACAGGUAAGCUAUCACUUCAGGAUGUGAGUGGGGCUGUUGAGCUAGUUGGCGGGGUAGGGUCCCAUGAAGGCGAGGAUCAGUAGCCGGGCUGAGAGGAUGAGCGGCCGGAUUGGGACGGAGACACGGCCCAGACGGCUAGGGGAGGCAGCAGUGGGGAAUCUUGCGGAAUCGACGAAAGUCUGACGGCGCAACGCCGAGUGAGGGAUGAGGGCCUUCGGGUUGUAAAGCUCUGUUAACCGGGAGGAAAGGGCUUCUUGCGAAUAGUGAGAAGGAUUGACGGUUACGGAAUAGAAAGCAACGGCUAACUACGUG